Molecule: transfer RNA, 85 nt
Filed under: Felis catus (domestic cat)
Lineage: Eukaryota; Metazoa; Chordata; Mammalia; Carnivora; Felidae
Source: Rfam by way of RNAcentral
ACUUGGGUGGCUUAGUCGGUUAAGCAUCUGACUUUGGCUCAGAUCAUGAUCUCAUGGUCUAGUCUGUGAGUUCCAACCCCAGGUC